GAUCUGUCAGCUUAAUUGCGUUAACGAACGAGACCUUUAAUUAUUAAUUAGUUAAAUAUAUAGUAAUAUAUACUUUAAAAAAUAAAUAUUAUUUUUUAUUUUUUCUUUUGACUUCUUAAAAUAACAAUUGGUGAUUAACCAAAGUAAGUUAAAGGCAAUAACAGGUCUGUGAUGCCCUUUAGAUGUUCUGGGCUGCACGCGCGUUACACUGAAAAUAUCAAUAAGUUUUUAUAUAUCAAAAACAAUUAUAUUUUAUAUAUUUGUUUUGAUAUGUCCUUGAUUGAAAAUUUGGGUAAACUUGAUAACUAUUUUCGUGAUGGGGAUUGAUAAUUGUAAUUAUUUAUCAUGAACGAGGAAUACCUAGUAAACGCAAGUCAUUAACUUGCAUUGAUUACGUCCCCUGCCCUUUGUACAC
This 415-nucleotide ribosomal RNA is filed under the name uncultured eukaryote. RNAcentral describes it as "bacterial SSU rRNA". It matches the Rfam family "Eukaryotic small subunit ribosomal RNA", at positions 1308 to 1667 of the family's 1831-position model. The record is from RNAcentral.